GAUUUCUGGUUAAUUGUCCUAGCCCGCUCGCUUCGGUGGGUGAGUGCUGGUACAACUAGCCAUCCUUCCAGAGAGCCGUGAGUACCCUUCACUGGGCCGCUCGCGUUUGCGAUCUGGAUCUUUUACUUUGAAAAAAUUAGAGUGUUUAAAGCAGGCUUUUGCUAUGAAUACAUUAGCAUGGAAUAAUAAUCUAGGACUUCGGUUCUAUUUUGUUGGUUUCUAUAACUGAAGUAAUGAUUGAUAGGGAUAGUUGGGGGUGCUAGUAUUGGCCGGCCAGAGGUGAAAUUCUUGGAUUCGGUCAAGACUAACUUAUGCGAAAGCAUU
This 324-nucleotide ribosomal RNA is filed under the name Protaspa sp. RNAcentral's name for it is "SSU rRNA". The stretch from base 109 to 324 matches the Rfam family "Eukaryotic small subunit ribosomal RNA", at positions 738 to 955 of the family's 1831-position model. Lineage: Eukaryota; Cercozoa; Thecofilosea; Cryomonadida; Protaspidae. The record is from RNAcentral.